RNAcentral lists this ribosomal RNA (449 nucleotides) under uncultured bacterium. RNAcentral's name for it is "partial 16S ribosomal RNA". It matches the Rfam family "Bacterial small subunit ribosomal RNA", at positions 29 to 523 of the family's 1533-position model. The record is from RNAcentral.
AAUGAACGCUGGCGGCAUGCCUAACACAUGCAAGUCGAACGAGAUCUUCGGGUCUAGUGGCGCACGGGUGCGUAACGCGUGGGAAUCUGCCCUUUGGUUCGGAAUAACAGUUGGAAACGACUGCUAAUACCGGAUGACGACGAAAGUCCAAAGAUUUAUCGCCAGAGGAUGAGCCCGCGUAGGAUUAGCUAGUUGGUGUGGUAAAGGCGCACCAAGGCGACGAUCCUUAGCUGGUCUGAGAGGAUGAUCAGCCACACUGGGACUGAGACACGGCCCAGACUCCUACGGGAGGCAGCAGUGGGGAAUAUUGGACAAUGGGCGAAAGCCUGAUCCAGCAAUGCCGCGUGAGUGAUGAAGGCCUUAGGGUUGUAAAGCUCUUUUACCCGGGAUGAUAAUGACAGUACCGGGAGAAUAAGCUCCGGCUAACUCCGUGCCAGCCGCCGCAGUAA